Malus domestica (apple) is the source of this 907-nucleotide long non-coding RNA. RefSeq lists it as uncharacterized. Lineage: Eukaryota; Viridiplantae; Streptophyta; Magnoliopsida; Rosales; Rosaceae. The record is from RefSeq and is a predicted model, not a curated record.
UUCUCUAAUUCUAGCCUACUGUUGCUCUGCUGCUAGUUUGAAAAAAUAGUCAGAACACUUGAAACACCCCUACCCUCUUUUAUAUUUUAAAAUUGUUUUAAAGCCUUAAUUGGUGAGCCCGUGGGGCCCACCUUGUUUAUUUUUUUUAUGUUUUCUGAUCUCUCUCUUCUUCUUCUUCGUUUCUCCCUCCCGUAGCUCUCUCCUUCUCAACACUGCUUCUCUCAGUCUGAUCCCUCCCGUGGUACACAAGCCGUACAGUGUAUCAAUCUAUCAAGAAUUAAAGAAUUCAAUUAUUCCAUCAUUCCAUAAAAAAGACAUUGAAGUUUAGUUAAUUGGUCAACAACCCAAAUUAUGGAAAGAUAUUUCAAAAGAAAAACACAACCUGAGAUAUUAGAACCGUCUCCAAAGAGUCCAAAGAACAAUGAAAGUAGUUCAAAACAAACUUGUGUGGAUUCUAUGGAAAUUAACUCGGAAACUCUCCAGUAUGAUCCUGGAUUGCGUAGACCGAUUUUGAGUUAUCAUCCUAAUGUUCGAGACCAAGUUCGAAGAGCCUAUCUCCAAAAUAAACCUUGUCAACCAAAAACCCAUGCAUUUCCCUACACAAAUUUUGGGACAAAGCCUAGAAGGUUCAAUCCUGCUUGGUUUACUCAAUUUCCUAAUUGGUUGGAGUAUAGCACAUCACAGGAUGCUGCCUAUUGUUUAUGUUGUUAUCUUGCACAAAAGAUGGUUGGAACCAAGAAAGAUCAUACUUAUCCGUUAGUGUACUUGCUUUUGACACUGGCACUCAUCUUACCGGUUGCAACAGCAAGUGUAGAGCGAGUCUUUUCUGCUAUGAAUAUUGUUAAGAACACCCUACGCAAUCGAAUGGGUGAUUUGUGGAUGAACGAUUGUUUGGUUGCUUAUAUUG